ACUUGCCUUUGCGAGGGGGAUAACAGUUGGAAACGACUGCUAAUACCGCAUAAUGUCUUCGGACCAAACGGGGCUUCGGCUCCGGCGCAAAGAGAGGCCCAAGUGAGAUUAGCUAGUUGGUGAGGUAAAGGCUCACCAAGGCAACGAUCUCUAGCUGUUCUGAGAGGAAGAUCAGCCACACUGGGACUGAGACACGGCCCAGACUCCUACGGGAGGCAGCAGUGGGGAAUAUUGCACAAUGGGGGAAACCCUGAUGCAGCCAUGCCGCGUGUGUGAAGAAGGCCUUCGGGUUGUAAAGCACUUUCAGUUGUGAGGAAAAGUUAGUAGUUAAUACCUGCUAGCCGUGACGUUAACAACAGAAGAAGCACCGGCUAACUCCGUGCCAGCAGCCGCGGUAAUACGGAGGGUGCGAGCGUUAAUCGGAAUUACUGGGCGUAAAGCGCACGCAGGCGGUUUGUUAAGCUAGAUGUGAAAGCCCCGGGCUCAACCUGGGACGGUCAUUUAGAACUGGCAGACUAGAGUCUUGGAGAGGGGAGUGGAAUUCCAGGUGUAGCGGUGAAAUGCGUAGAUAUCUGGAGGAACAUCAGUGGCGAAGGCGACUCCCUGGCCAAAGACUGACGCUCAUGUGCGAAAGUGUGGGUAGCGAACAG
This 650-nucleotide ribosomal RNA is filed under the name uncultured bacterium. RNAcentral's name for it is "bacterial SSU rRNA". It matches the Rfam family "Bacterial small subunit ribosomal RNA", at positions 124 to 775 of the family's 1533-position model. The record is from RNAcentral.